GAUGAACGCUGGCGGCGUGCUUAACACAUGCAAGUCGAGCGAAGCACAUAAGUUUGAUUCUUCGGAUGAAGAUUUAUGUGACUGAGCGGCGGACGGGUGAGUAACGCGUGGGUAACCUGCCUUACACAGGGGGAUAACAGUUAGAAAUGACUGCUAAUACCGCAUAAGACCCCGGUACCGCAUGGUACAGAGGUAAAAACUGAGGUGGUGUAAGAUGGACCCGCGUCUGAUUAGGUAGUUGGUGAGGUAACGGCUCACCAAGCCGACGAUCAGUAGCCGGCCUGAGAGGGUGGACGGCCACAUUGGGACUGAGACACGGCCCAG
Molecule: ribosomal RNA, 324 nt
Filed under: uncultured bacterium
Lineage: Bacteria
Description: bacterial SSU rRNA
Rfam family: Bacterial small subunit ribosomal RNA
Source: RNAcentral